RNAcentral lists this ribosomal RNA (438 nucleotides) under Wolbachia endosymbiont of Plutella xylostella. RNAcentral's name for it is "bacterial SSU rRNA". It matches the Rfam family "Bacterial small subunit ribosomal RNA", at positions 992 to 1428 of the family's 1533-position model. Lineage: Bacteria; Pseudomonadati; Pseudomonadota; Alphaproteobacteria; Rickettsiales; Anaplasmataceae. The record is from RNAcentral.
CAUACCUAUUCGAAGGGAUAGGGUCGGUUCGGCCGGAUUUUACACAAGUGUUGCAUGGCUGUCGUCAGCUCGUGUCGUGAGAUGUUGGGUUAAGUCCCGCAACGAGCGCAACCCUCAUCCUUAGUUGCUAUCAGGUAAUGCUGAGUACUUUAAGGAAACUGCCAGUGAUAAGCUGGAGGAAGGUGGGGAUGAUGUUAAGUCAUCAUGGCCUUUAUGGAGUGGGCUACACACGUGCUACAAUGGUGUCUACAAUGGGCUGCAAGGUGCGCAAGCCUAAGCUAAUCCCUAAAAGACAUCUCAGUUCGGAUUGUACUCUGCAACUCGAGUACAUGAAGUUGGAAUCGCUAGUAAUCGUGGAUCAGCAUGCCACGGUGAAUACGUUCUCGGGUCUUGUACACACUGCCCGUCACGCCAUGGGAAUUGGUUUCACUCGAAGCU